This 76-nucleotide transfer RNA is filed under the name Candidatus Latescibacterota bacterium. RNAcentral describes it as "tRNA-Ala". It matches the Rfam family "tRNA". Rfam says of the family: Transfer RNA (tRNA) molecules are approximately 80 nucleotides in length. The record is from RNAcentral. Lineage: Bacteria; Pseudomonadati; Candidatus Latescibacterota.
GGGGCCAUAGCUCAGCUGGGAGAGCGCUUGACUGGCAGUCAAGAGGUCGACGGUUCGAUCCCGUUUGGCUCCACCA